This 1310-nucleotide ribosomal RNA is filed under the name metagenome. RNAcentral describes it as "bacterial LSU rRNA". It matches the Rfam family "Bacterial large subunit ribosomal RNA", at positions 1597 to 2925 of the family's 2925-position model. The record is from RNAcentral.
CCUGCCAUGCGUCAAGAAAAGCCGCUAUUGUUUUACUUAAGCCCGUACCGUAAACCGACACAGGUGGAUGAGGAGAGAAUCCUAAGGCCGACGGGAGAAGCAUUGUUAAGGAACUCGGCAAAAUGACUCCGUAACUUCAGGAGAAGGAGUGCCAGCGAGAGCUGGCCGCAGAGAAUUGGCCCAAGCAACUGUUUAGCAAAAACACAGGUCUAUGCAAAACCGUAAGGUGAAGUAUAUGGGCUGACGCCUGCCCGGUGCUGGAAGGUUAAGAGGAGAGGUUAGCGGUAACGCGAAGCUUUGAAUUUAAGCCCCAGUAAACGGCGGCCGUAACUAUAACGGUCCUAAGGUAGCGAAAUUCCUUGUCGGGUAAGUUCCGACCCGCACGAAAGGCGUAAUGAUUUGGGCACUGUCUCAACAAUGCACCCGGUGAAAUUGAAAUACCAGUGAAGAUGCUGGUUACCUGCGCCAGGACGGAAAGACCCCAUGGAGCUUUACUCCAGCUUGAUACUGGGAUUCGGUAUUGCAUGUACAGGAUAGGUGGGAGGCUAGGAAGUGAUAACGCCAGUUGUCACGGAGCCGCUGUUGGGAUACCACCCUUGCAGUAUUGGAUUUCUAACCAGCGACCAUGAACUGGUCGGGGGACAAUGUCAGGUGGGGAGUUUGACUGGGGCGGUCGCCUCCGAAAGGGUAUCGGAGGCGCUCAAAGGUUCCCUCAGAAUGGACGGAAACCAUUCGAAGAGUGCAAAGGCAGAAGGGAGCUUGACUGCGACACCGACGGGUGGAGCAGGUACGAAAGUAGGACUUAGUGAUCCGGUGGUAUAAAGUGGGAUUGCCAUCGCUCAACGGAUAAAAGCUACCCUGGGAUAACAGGCUUAUCACUCCCAAGAGUUCACAUCGACGGAGUGGUUUGGCACCUCGAUGUCGGCUCAUCGCAUCCUGGGGCUGAAGUAGGUCCCAAGGGUUGGGCUGUUCGCCCAUUAAAGCGGUACGCGAGCUGGGUUCAGAACGUCGUGAGACAGUUCGGUCCCUAUCCGGCGUGGGCGUAGGAUAUUUGAGAGGAGCUGUCCUUAGUACGAGAGGACCGGGAUGGACUGGCCGCUGGUGUAUCUGUUGCAUACCAAAUGCAUGGCAGAGUAGCCAAGCCGGGACGGGAUAAACGCUGAAGGCAUCUAAGCGUGAAGCCCCCCUCAAGAUGAGAUAUCCCUACGUAAGUAGUAAGACCCCUUGAAGACGACGAGGUAGAUAGGUCAGAGGUGGAAGUACAGUAAUGUAUGGAGCUGACUGAUACUAAUCGGUCGAGGGCAUGACCG